Molecule: long non-coding RNA, 1002 nt
Organism: Triticum urartu
Lineage: Eukaryota; Viridiplantae; Streptophyta; Magnoliopsida; Poales; Poaceae
Source: RefSeq, a predicted model, not a curated record
GGACUGCCUCCUAUUCAAAUUCUUGCAACUUACAAUUAUGUUUUGUUUGAAAGCUACUUACUGUAAAGUAGUAUAUGUGCUAGCAUUUCAGUAUAGCUUCCAAAAAUAUGUGGUUCAAGUUCUCAAUUUGUUUAGAAGAAGAUAGGACAGGAAAUCUUGAAUGGAAAGCUCAUAUGAGUGUGGAUGGUUUGAGUAAAUUGGUGACUGGUGGAGAUCAUUCAUGUUGAUUAUUUUUGACAAUAAUGAUAGGUCCACUAGAGAAUUUGCGGAUAACUUUUUAAGUAAAAAGAUAAUCUUUAUAUGGACACUUGGACUAUAAACAUUUGCUAUAGUUCACCUUUAAUAACUUUGUAAGUACAGAGAUAUCACCUAAAUGUAAUAUGUAACUAUGUGUUGCAAUCUGAGCAAUGGGUGUGUAAAUUGUAGUCUCUACAUGCACAGUCGAGAUGUGUUCAGUCCAACCCCAUGGCAUCAGGGAGGUCGAGUUCAUCGCGAGCAGCAGUACAUGGUUGUCGGCUUCAACUUUCUUCCACCAAGGUGCUUUCACUCGGUGAUGCAAGGAUGCCCGAACUGAAGCAUGUCGGCAAGCCAGGCGUUGGGCUAACCAUUGUCGUCUGUCUACCUCCUUCCCCGUGCAGAGAAGUUACCCAGUUGUGGGCUGACUUGGAGGCUCCUUCUCCACGUCGACACAAUUGCAGGACCAAUGUGCUACUGACCGCGCAAGCUUUCUCAAGGAGCUCGUGUCCAACGAUACUGAAAGGAAAAUGGAGUGAAAGUGCUACUGCACCAGUUUUGAACUUCUUAUUCAGUCAUGCUAUUACUGAGUGAAAAAUGGAGUGAAAGUGUAUUGCAAUUGAUCUCUCUUAGACCCCUGGCAAUCCUCUAUUUAUCCUUUGUUUGUUUGUUUUUUGGUCUGUAAUUCAAGAACUUUGACCUUCGUAAUUCGGUUUUUGGUUAAUUUAUUAUGCCCGUUACAAACCUUUAAAUCUGAAGAGGCUUCUA